GUGUAGCUCAAUGGAAGAGCACCUGCCUAGCAAGCAGGACCCCCUGGGUUCGGUUCCCAGCAC
Molecule: transfer RNA, 63 nt
Filed under: Heterocephalus glaber (naked mole-rat)
Lineage: Eukaryota; Metazoa; Chordata; Mammalia; Rodentia; Bathyergidae
Rfam family: tRNA
About the family: Transfer RNA (tRNA) molecules are approximately 80 nucleotides in length. Their secondary structure includes four short double-helical elements and three loops (D, anti-codon, and T loops).
Source: Rfam by way of RNAcentral